Molecule: ribosomal RNA, 969 nt
Filed under: Triticum aestivum (bread wheat)
Lineage: Eukaryota; Viridiplantae; Streptophyta; Magnoliopsida; Poales; Poaceae
Description: partial small subunit ribosomal RNA
Source: RNAcentral
AUGCCCACCGGCGCCGACGAGCGCGUCUACUGCCCGGACUGCCGCCGCGCGACGGAGGUGGUGCUGGACCACGGCACCGGCGACACCAUCUGCACCGAGUGCGCGCUCGUCCUCGACGCGCACUACAUCGACGAGGGCUCCGAGUGGCGCAGCUUCGCCGCCGACGGCGGCGGCGAGGACCGCGACCCCAGCCGCGUCGGCGCCUCCGGGGACCCCUUCCUCAACACCAAGCUCUCCACCGUCAUCGCCUACGACAAGAAGCCCGGCAAGUCCUCCGGCGAGGCCAACGCCCUGCCGCGGACGUCCGUGCCCGGCGACGGCGCCGGCGCGGUGACCCUCGUCGACGGCUUCCGCGGCAUCGGGGACAUGGCCGACCGGCUCGGCCUCGUCGCCACCAUCCGGGACCACGCCAAGGAGACGUUCAAGAAGCUGGACGAGGCCAAGGGCGUCCCGCGCGGCCGGAACCGCGACUCGGUCUACGCCGCCUGCCUCUACAUCGCCUGCCGCAACCUCGGCAUGCCGCGCACCUACAAGGAGCUCGCCUCCGUCACGGCCGCGGGGCCGGCCGCCAAGAAGGACAUCGGCAAGAUGUCGACGCACAUCAAGAAGCUGCUCGGCGAGGAGGACGGCCAGGUGAUGGACAUCGGCGUGGUGAGCGCCUCCGACUACCUGCGCCGCUUCUGCUCGCGGCUCGGGCUGGGCAACCAGGAGGUGCGCGACGCGCAGGAGGCCGUGCGCAGGCUCGAGGAGCGCCUCGACGUCCGCCGCAACCCCGAGUCCAUCGCCGCCGCCGUCAUCUACAUGGUCGUGCAGCGCGCCGGCGCCACCAACUCCGUCAAGGACGUGUCCGUCGCCACCGGCGUCGCCGAGGGCACCAUCAAGGAGGCGCACAAGGACCUCACCCCGCACGCCCACAUGCUCUUCGCCCCUGUCACCGCCCACGACAUUAUUAACCCCGUUCAAGCUUGA